This is a long non-coding RNA of Anolis carolinensis (green anole), 3338 nucleotides long. RefSeq lists it as uncharacterized. The transcript is spliced from 2 exons. Lineage: Eukaryota; Metazoa; Chordata; Lepidosauria; Squamata; Anolidae. The record is from RefSeq and is a predicted model, not a curated record.
AGAAGGUGGGUAAUAACUAGUUAUAAUAAGUACAAUAUGUAUUUAUCUCAAGUAUAUAUAAAUAGUACUUUUGGAUAGGCAAACUUUUCUAGAGCAGUUGGUACCAUUUCUAAAACAAUAUGUAUGUGGGUUUCUGUCAGUUUUUCAGGCUGUAUGGCCAUGUUCCAGUAGCAUUCUCUCCUGGUGUUUCACCUGCAUCUGUGGCUGGCAUCUUCAGAGGUUCUUCUGGAGGUCAAAUGGGCCGGCGAGCGACGUGUGAAACUUUCUAAGGGAAACGGCAGGAUAAAAAACGUAAUAAUCCAUAAGUGCAAACUGCAACAGUGGCAUAUUGUUCACCCCCCGCGGGGCACUAAUCCUACGCGACUCUCAACACUGGUGCUUUCACACCACAAAUAUUUGUGCCACGCAGCAGAUUGUAUCAAGAUAACAGCAAGCAACAGCAGCAAAUAUUGACAAAAGUGGACAAAAGUGUUGCUUUGGCAACCGGAGUUCCUUAACAGUAACCACCAGCAGUGGUGUUUGUCGGAGUAGCUAGGCUUCAGGGCUUUUUGAGAAGUUAAAAUUAAACAGAAUUCUUUUGGACACAGCCAUUGAGAAUCGCUGGGCCAGAACAUAUGUACCAUUGAAAAAAACCCAGCUCUUUUUCUUAACUUGCAACUCUGCUUCGUGGGAGAGGCAUUGAAAGGUUGCCUUUCGAAGGGAGGAUUCGACUGACAGGAGCCAUCACUGGUUGUCAAAGAAACCCAAACAUAUUUCCGCUCUUGUGGCUCUUAUUUAGAAGGACUAUUUUGCUCUGAGCAGGAAGGACAAUAGCUCAGGUGCUCCUCGCAAGUCUGCAGAAGACAAAACUUUGGCCGUAAGGAAGACCAAGAUGGGCUGCACCACCAGCAAGAGUGCCACCGUUGUAGAAGUGAGUGAAAAGCCUGGAGACAAGCCCCAAGGAGACGAAAACAACCAAGAUAGAGACUCGGUGGCAAAGACUGACAGCAACCAAAAUGCUUCCUGUAAAGACGGCACCAGUGAAAGCUGAAACGGGAGAGAAAUCCCCAUUCAAAGAUAGACCUGGACAGAUGAACUUCUUUAUUUUGUGAGAUGACCAAUGGAUCCUAUCUUCAGACACUUUCUUCAGGAGCCACACAACAAAUCUUUGCGGAAGUACAGUGGACUCUCUGUAUCCACUGAUUCUUGACUAUAAGGGAGAACCUUUUACUACGCCAUUGCAUAUAAUGGGAAUGGAGCAUCAAUGGAUUUCGGUAUCCACAGGAGGUCCUGGAACCAAAGCCCAGCAGAUACCAAGGACCAUAUCGGUUUGGUCUUCCGUUUGGUUGUCCUGUGCCGAGAUGAGGAUCUGCUAAGGUCCAGAUGAGAUUCUGCUACCUCUACAAAUGGAUUGGUUUUGUUGUUUCACCCAUCUGAAUGGUCAUCUACUCUUCCUGAAAUGAAAUUCAAAUCAAAUUUUGAGAACUUUCAAAAAAACAUUUUCAGAAUCAGCGUAUCUCUCAAGAGCCAUAGUGCAUGAUCUAAAAUUAAAUUUAAAAUUAAGAUUCGUCCUUGAACAAAAGACCCAAGGAACUUCAAGGGAAGCCACUGAAUAUCAUGGAAAUGGAGCAUCAAUGGAUUUCAGUAUCCACAGGAGGUCCUGGAACCAAAGCCCAGCAGAUACCCAAGGACCAUAUCGGUGUUGUCUUCCAUUUGGUUGUUCUAUGUUGAGAUGGGGAUCUACUAAUGCCCAAAGGACAUUAUUCUACCUCUACAAAUGGAUUGAUUUUGUUGUUUCACCCAUCUGAAUGGUCAUCUACUCUUCCUGAAAUGUAAUUCAAAUCAAAUUUUGAGGACUUUAAAAAAAAAACCUUUUCAGGAAACCCUCUAGCUAUGAUAUUAAUGUAUCCCUCAAGAACCAUAGUGCAUGAUCUAAAAAUUUAAUUUAAAAUUAAGAUUCAUCCUUGAACAAAAGACCCAAGGAACUUCAAGGGAAGCCACUGAAUAUAAUGGGAAUAGAGCAUCAAUGGAUUUCGGUAUCCACAGGAGAUCCUGGAACCAAAGCCCAGCACAUACCCAAGGACCAUAUUGGUGUUGUCUUCCAUUUGGUUGUGAAAUGCUGAGAUGGGGAUCUACUAAUGCCCAAAGGACAUUAUUCUACCACUACAAAUGGAUUGAUUUUGUUGUUUCACCAAUCUGAAGGGUCAUCUACUCUUCCUGAAAUGAAAUUCAAAUCAAAUUUUGAGGACUUUCAAAAAAACAUUUUCAGAAAACCCUCUAGCUAUGAUAUCAGUGUAUCUCUCAAGAGCCAUAGUGCAUGAUCUAAAAUGAAAUUUAAAAUUAAGAUUCAUCCUUGAAAAAAAGACCCAAGGAACUUCAAGGGAAGCCACUGAAUAUCAUGGAAAUGGAGCAUCAAUGGAUUUCGGUAUCCACAGGAGAUCCUGGAACCAAAGGCCAGCAGAUACCAAGGACCAUAUUGGUGUUGUCUUCCAUUUGGUUGUCCUAUGUUGAGAUGGGGAUCUACUAAUGCCCAAAGGACAUUUUGCUACCUCUAAAAAUGGAUUGAUUUUGUUGUUUCACCCAUCUGAAUGGUCAUUUAUUCUUCCUGAAAUUAAAUUUGAAUCAAAUUUUGAGGACUUAAAAAAAAACCUUUUCAGAAAACCCUCUAGCUAUGAUAUCAGUGUAUCUCUCAAGAGCCAUAGUGCAUCAUCUAAAAUGAAAUUUAAAAUUAAGAUUCAUCCUUGAACAAAAGACCCAAGGAACUUCAAGAGAAGCCAAAGAAACACUGAUACACUCAGUGAACACGUCAGAAGUGUAGAGGACAUGUUAUUCACCACCAAAAGUUAUCUUUCCAGACAUUUGGGGCUAAGACUGAAGCAAAAUAACUCCAACUGGAAGAAAUGGAAUCUCCCACUAUCUUUGAUCAAAGGCAGCCAAUAUUCUGAUAUCAAUUCUCCAUUCUGUUUAGCUGUACUCGGCUGCCGAAGGUUAAGUUGCAGUUUAAUGUGUUUAAAGAAAGUCUUGAAAAAUCUGAUUGAAUUUCUUUUUUUCCAAGGCAGUCUAAUGUCAUGGUUCGGUUAUGUUGUUAAUGAAGUGUUAAUGUUAAUGAAAACUCUACUAAUCUUUAACAUCGUGUUAUCCAGAGGGUUAAAUGCUGACACGAUAUUCUGAGGAACGGCAUGAAUCAUAGACAGAUGUGCAAAUUAUGGCUGGAUUUUUAUUGCCCAGCUCCGUAGGAUCGAAAUGGUAAAUGUUUCAAUGGCUUUUUAAAAAACGAGAUGUGAUCAAAGAGUUGAAACCUCAUCACUCUUUCUCUCUUUUUUUCUGUCUCCCUAAUAAAAUUUCAUCAAUAUCAGGUA